Drosophila obscura is the source of this 781-nucleotide long non-coding RNA. RefSeq lists it as uncharacterized. Lineage: Eukaryota; Metazoa; Arthropoda; Insecta; Diptera; Drosophilidae. The transcript has 3 exons. The record is from RefSeq and is a predicted model, not a curated record.
GAUGGAAAAUACAAUAAACAAAAAAUUGCUCAAGACAUCCUUUUCAAUCUGUUUAAGCAGUUGCUCCAUGGAGCCACCUACGAGUAGGCAGAGGGUGUAGUUCAUUUCAUUUCCGAUUCCCUACCCCACUAAUUUACUUACAAUGAUGAGGCUGGCUUUGCAAAAAAGCCAACUAUAUAGAGUAGCAGCGAUGGGCGCGAGGUAGCAUCGGGUUUUUGGGUAAACUGACAAUAUUGCCUAGUCUGGAUGUUUGGAAUACAACACACAAAUUCUGGCUUCUUGGCUUCUUCACAUAAAUUAAAGAAUUAUAUUUGAUCACAUUUGCCUUUGUAUUCAAAAGUCAAACCCAGGUCCUCUUAGAAACAAAUAAAAAUUUAUUAUUGCUAUAGAGAGCAAACAAGUAACAACUAAAAACAAAAAAUAUCACAUUCGUCAAAAAAUUCGACAUUCUAAAUUAAAAAAUUUUUUGUAAAAGUUUUAUUUUAUAUUCAUUCAUAUAGAAUGGAAACACUAAAAUUCACACGUCUAUUGCGAUAUUGAAUUGCGAGCCACGAGCAGAGCACCACUGUGGACGACCACCACUUUCCUGUCCCCAACUUGUUUCCCGAGCGUAGUACCAUGCCCGGGAUGAAGCCAACACUUGGCUGUAGCUCCAAUUCAAAACUUUCUUCUUGUUUCUUCAGCAGUUCUAUCAUCAGCUCACGUCUGAUCCGCAAGUUGUUGAUUAUUAUCCUGCUUCCUACUGAACUCCUCCUGCUGCUCCUUGCUAUGCCAAUACAGA